AACGAACGCUGGCGGCGUGGAUUAGGCAUGCAAGUCGAGCGAUAUCUUACCUUCGGGUAAGUGAAAGCGGCGAACGGGUGAGUAACACGUGAAUAACCUGCCCUCACAUUCCGGAUAAUAGACCGAAAGGUCUUGUAAUACGGGCGAGGAUUUCUCUUAGGCAUCUUAGAGAAAGGGAAGGCGCAAGCCGUGCGAGGAGG
This 200-nucleotide ribosomal RNA is filed under the name uncultured bacterium. RNAcentral describes it as "partial 16S ribosomal RNA". It matches the Rfam family "Bacterial small subunit ribosomal RNA", at positions 29 to 227 of the family's 1533-position model. The record is from RNAcentral.